CCUACGGGUGGCUGCAGUCGAGAAUCAUUCACAAUGGGGGAAACCCUGAUGGUGCGACGCCGCGUGGGGGAAUGAAGGUCUUCGGAUUGUAAACCCCUGUCAUGUGGGAGCAAAUUAAAAAGAUAGUACCACAAGAGGAAGAGACGGCUAACUCUGUUCCAGGAGCCGCGGUAAUACAGAGGUCUCAAGCGUUGUUCGGAAUCACUGGGCGUGAAGCGUGCGUAGGCUGUUUCGUAAGGCGUGUGUGAAAGGUGCGGGCUCAACCCGCGGACGGCACAUGAUACUGCGAGACGAGAGUAAGGGAGGGGGAAGCGGAAUUCGCGGUGUAGCAGUGAAAUGCGUAGAUAUCGAGAGGAACACUGGUGGCGAAGGCGGGUUCCUGGACAUUAACUGACGCUGAGGCACGAAGGCCAGGGGAGCGAAAGGGAUUAGAUACCCGGGUAGUC
RNAcentral lists this ribosomal RNA (446 nucleotides) under uncultured bacterium. Its description in RNAcentral is "partial 16S ribosomal RNA". It matches the Rfam family "Bacterial small subunit ribosomal RNA", at positions 338 to 795 of the family's 1533-position model. The record is from RNAcentral.